Molecule: ribosomal RNA, 253 nt
Filed under: uncultured bacterium
Lineage: Bacteria
Description: partial 16S ribosomal RNA
Rfam family: Bacterial small subunit ribosomal RNA
Source: RNAcentral
UACAGAGGAUGCAAGCGUUAUCCGGAAUGAUUGGGCGUAAAGCGUCUGUAGGUGGCUUUUUAAGUCCGCCGUCAAAUCCCAGGGCUCAACUCUGGACAGGCGGUGGAAACUACCAAGCUGGAGUACGGUAGGGGCAGAGGGAAUUUCCGGUGGAGCGGUGAAAUGCGUAGAGAUCGGAAGGAACAUCAGUGGCGAAAGCGACUUCCUGGACCAGUACCGACGUUCAGGCACGAAAGCGUGGGGAGCAAACAGG